GCCUCAGUGUGGUAGUGGAUAUCCCUUGGGCUUGCGGAGCCCAAGACCCGGGUUCGACUCCCGGCUGGGGCG
RNAcentral lists this transfer RNA (72 nucleotides) under Methanobacteriota archaeon. Its description in RNAcentral is "Euryarchaeota archaeon tRNA-Arg". It matches the Rfam family "tRNA". From Rfam's summary of the family: Transfer RNA (tRNA) molecules are approximately 80 nucleotides in length. RNAcentral also lists the same sequence under 3 other names. The record is from RNAcentral. Lineage: Archaea; Methanobacteriati; Methanobacteriota.